Molecule: ribosomal RNA, 484 nt
Filed under: uncultured bacterium
Lineage: Bacteria
Description: partial 16S ribosomal RNA
Rfam family: Bacterial small subunit ribosomal RNA
Source: RNAcentral
AUUGAACGCUGGCGGCAUGCCUUACACAUGCAAGUCGAACGGCAGCGCGGACUUCGGUCUGGCGGCGAGUGGCGAACGGGUGAGUAAUACAUCGGAACGUACCCUGUUGUGGGGGAUAACUAGUCGAAAGAUUAGUUAAUACCGCAUACGACCUGAGGGUGAAAGUGGGGGACCGCAAGGCCUCACGCAGCAGGAGCGGCCGAUGUCUGAUUAGCUAGUUGGUGGGGUAAAGGCCCACCAAGGCGACGAUCAGUAGCUGGUCUGAGAGGACGAUCAGCCACACUGGGACUGAGACACGGCCCAGACUCCUACGGGAGGCAGCAGUGGGGAAUUUUGGACAAUGGGGGCAACCCUGAUCCAGCAAUGCCGCGUGUGUGAAGAAGGCCUUCGGGUUGUAAAGCACUUUUGUCCGGAAAGAAAUCGCGCUGGUUAAUACCUGGCGUGGAUGACGGUACCGGAAGAAUAAGCACCGGCUAACUACGUG